Molecule: ribosomal RNA, 448 nt
Filed under: uncultured bacterium
Lineage: Bacteria
Description: SSU rRNA
Rfam family: Bacterial small subunit ribosomal RNA
Source: RNAcentral
AGGAUGAACGCUGGCGGUCUGCUUAACACAUGCAAGUCGAACGGAGUACCUCGGUACUUAGUGGCGGACGGGUGAGUAACGCGUGAGAAUCUGCCCUUAGGUCGGGGACAACCAUUGGAAACGAUGGCUAAUACCGGAUAAGCCGAGAGGUAAAAAGAUUAAUUGCCUAGGGAAGAGCUCGCGUCUGAUUAGCUAGUUGGUGAGGUAAAGGCUCACCAAGGCAUCGAUCAGUAGCUGGUCUGAGAGGAUGAUCAGCCACACUGGGACUGAGACACGGCCCAGACUCCUACGGGAGGCAGCAGUGGGAAUUUUCCGCAAUGGGCGAAAGCCUGACGGAGCAAGACCGCGUGAGGGAGGAAGGCUCUUGGGUUGUAAACCUCUUUUCUUGGGAAGAACAAAAUGACGGUACCCAAGGAAUCAGCAUCGGCUAACUCCGUGCCAGCAGCGC